AACGCGCAUUGCGCCCUCUGGUAUUCCAGAGGGCAUGCCUGUUCGGGCGUCAUUUCAACCCUCAAGCCCUGCUUGGUGUUGGGGCAUUACCCGGUCACAUGGGUAAGCCCUGAAAUUUAGUGGCGAGCUCGCCAGGACUCCGAGCGCAGUAAUUAAACCCUCGCUUUGGAUCGUACUGGCGCGGCCCUGCCGUAAAACCCCCAACUCCUGAAAAUUUGACCUCGGAUCAGGUAGGAAUACCCGCUGAACUUAA
RNAcentral lists this unclassified non-coding RNA (253 nucleotides) under uncultured fungus. Its description in RNAcentral is "partial contains 5.8S ribosomal RNA, internal transcribed spacer 2, and large subunit ribosomal RNA". The record is from RNAcentral. Lineage: Eukaryota; Fungi.